This 408-nucleotide small RNA is filed under the name Histoplasma capsulatum. RNAcentral's name for it is "hypothetical RNA". The record is from RNAcentral. Lineage: Eukaryota; Fungi; Ascomycota; Eurotiomycetes; Onygenales; Ajellomycetaceae. RNAcentral also lists the same sequence under 1 other name.
UGUAGGAUUGGCCUUUUACUUCCAGUGAGGUCUGAUAUUACUAGUAUUUAUGCGACAUAUCUAGGCCCGGUCCCUGUCUCUAGCCUACAUCUGCUGCCGAACGGCGGAAUCGAUUCAGCCGGAAGGGUUCAUGGUCUCCGUUCAAACAAUAUCAUCGCCCUAAUCUAGCCUUUUAAGAGAUUUGUUCAACGUCUUUAUUUCAAUUUGGUGAAGGUUCAGGCGUUUAAUUCUUCCAGAAACUCGAGAGACCAGGGACCUGAAAAUAUUUGUCGUUCCUGAGAUCCAUAUGGCAACAGACAAGAAGCAUUUGAGGUCUCAGUUACCCGUUAAGGAGAAGUGUCCAUACCGCAUAAUCACUCCCCAAACUAGUCCUUCAAUACAGCUUGAAUGGCAGCUUACGGAAACAGU